CAAGAACUAAAGGAAUUGACGGGGCCCGCACAAGCGAGGAGCAUGUGGUUAAUUCGAUGAUACGCGAGGAACCUUACCUGGGCUCGAACGUAAGAUGACUGUAGGUGAAAGCUUACAUCUCUUCGGAGCAUUUUACGAGGUGCUGCAUGGUUGUCGUCAGCUCGUGCCGUGAGGUGUCGGGUUAAGUCCCAUAACGAGCGCAACCCCUACCUUUAGUUGCCAUCAGGUAAUGCUGGGGACUCUAAAGGAACUGCCUACGCAAGUAGUGAGGAAGGCGGGGAUGACGUCAAAUCAGCACGGCCCUUACGUCCAGGGCUACACACGUGCUACAAUGGCCGAUACAGAGGGCAGCUACCUGGUGACAGGAUGCAAAUCUCCAAAGUCGGUCUCAGUUCGGAUCGGAGUCUGCAACCCGACUCCGUGAAGUUGGAUUCGCUAGUAAUCGCGCAUCAGCCAUGGCGCGGUGAAUACGUUCCCGGGCCUU
This 484-nucleotide ribosomal RNA is filed under the name uncultured Sphingobacteriales bacterium. RNAcentral describes it as "bacterial SSU rRNA". It matches the Rfam family "Bacterial small subunit ribosomal RNA", at positions 903 to 1382 of the family's 1533-position model. The record is from RNAcentral. Lineage: Bacteria; Pseudomonadati; Bacteroidota; Sphingobacteriia; Sphingobacteriales.